AGAGUUUGAUCCUGGCUCAGAUUGAACGCUGGCGGCACGCCUAACACAUGCAAGUCGAACGGCAGCAGUAGAGAGCUUGCUUUCUAGCUGGCGAGUGGCGGACGGGUGAGUAACACGUAGGAAUAUGUCCUGAAGAGGGGGAUAACCCGAGGAAACUCGGGCUAAUACCGCAUAAUUUCUGAGGAAAGAAGGGGGCUUCGGCUUUCGCUUUAGGAGUAGCCUACGUUGGAUUAGCUAGUUGGUAAGGUAAAAGCUUACCAAGGCGAUGAUCCAUAGCUGGUCUGAGAGGACGACCAGCCACACUGGGACUGAGACACGGCCCAGACUCUUACGGGAGGCAGCAGUGGGGAAUCUUGGACAAUGGGGGAAACCCUGAUCCAGCGAUGCCGCGUGUGUGAAGAAGGCCUGAGGGUUGUAAAGCACUUUCAGUGGGGAGGAAGAGCUUGUGCAGAUAAAGCACAAGUUGAGACGUUACCCACAGAAGAAGCACCGGCUAACUCUGUGCCAGCAGCCGCGGUAAUACAGAGGGUGCGAGCGUUAAUCGGAAUGACUGGGCGUAAAGAGCACGUAGGCGGUAAGAGAAGUUGGAUGUGAAAUGUCUGGGCUUAACCUAGAGAGGUCAUCCAAAACUGACUAACUAGAGUUUGGUAGAGGUAAGCGGAAUUUCCGGAGCAGCGGUGAAAUGCGUAGAUAUCGGAAGGAACAUCAGUGGCGAAGGCGGCUUUCUGGUCUAUUUCUGACGCUGAGGAGCGAAAGCUAGGGGAGCAAACGGGAUUAGAUACCCCGGUAGUCCUAGCUGUAAACGAUGGAUACUAGGUGUGGGAGGUAUCGACCCCUUCUGUGCCGCAGCUAACGCAUUAAGUAUCCCGCCUGGGGAGUACGGUCGCAAGGCUGAAACUCAAAGGAAUUGACGGGGGCCCGCACAAGCGGUGGAGCAUGUGGUUUAAUUCGACGCAACGCGAAGAACCUUACCGGGACUUGACAUUGUCUUGCCCGUCUAAGAAAUUAGAUUUUCUUCCUUUUGGAAGACGAGAUAACAGGUGGUGCAUGGUUGUCGUCAGCUCGUGUCGUGAGAUGUUGGGUUAAGUCCCACAACGAGCGCAACCCUUGUCUUUAGUUGCCACUAUUAAGUUAGGCACUCUAAAGAUACUGCCCCGGUUAACGGGGAGGAAGGUGGGGAUGACGUCAAGUCCUCAUGGCCUUUAUACCCAGGGCUACACACGUGCUACAAUGGGUUGUACAAAGGGCUGCGACUCUGCAAGGAGAAGCUAAUCCCAAAAAGUAGUCCCAAGUUCGGAUUGGAGUCUGCAACUCGACUCCAUGAAGCUGGAAUCGCUAGUAAUCGUGGAUCAGCAUGCCACGGUGAAUACGUUCCCGGGCCUUGUACACACCGCCCGUCACACCACGAAAGUUGGUUGUACCAGAAGUUGCUGGGCUAACCUCUGAUUUAUCGGAGGAGGCAGGCACCUAAGGUAUGGCUGGUGAUUGGGGUGAAGUCGUAACAAGGUAACC
This 1512-nucleotide ribosomal RNA is filed under the name uncultured bacterium. RNAcentral describes it as "16S ribosomal RNA". It matches the Rfam family "Bacterial small subunit ribosomal RNA". The record is from RNAcentral.